AACCGUCUUCCUGUCUGGGGCGAGUCCCCCCAUCACACACGUUGGGUCUCUGGCUCUUCCUCCAGGCUGCCGCACCGGAUUUGCUAACCUCGGUGUGCGCAGGUUCACCGCCUUCUCUCCCCUGCCCACCCGCACACCCUGUUUCAGAAGAGAAUGCACUGAUAAACUUUACUCACAGAUGCCGUUCCUUGCUGAGUGCAAGGCUUGGAAGCAUCCUUGAGGUUAAACGGAACCGAGAGGCAGUGAUUCAGGACCAGACCUCUCGUCAUCCUGCUAUGCUGCUCUGAUGCCUACAUAGUCCCGUGCCAAUCCCUCUCGUUGAUGUGACUAAUUUAACAGGUGUAUAAGGGAACUCCACUGAACA
This 364-nucleotide long non-coding RNA is filed under the name Mustela putorius furo (domestic ferret). RNAcentral describes it as "lncRNA (ENSMPUG00000029445.1)". The record is from RNAcentral. Lineage: Eukaryota; Metazoa; Chordata; Mammalia; Carnivora; Mustelidae.